Molecule: transfer RNA, 73 nt
Filed under: Bos taurus (domestic cattle)
Lineage: Eukaryota; Metazoa; Chordata; Mammalia; Artiodactyla; Bovidae
Also listed under: 1 other name
Rfam family: tRNA
About the family: Transfer RNA (tRNA) molecules are approximately 80 nucleotides in length.
Source: Rfam by way of RNAcentral
UCCCAGGUGGUUCAGAUGGUAAAGAAAUCUGCCUGCAAGGCAGGAGACCCAGGUUUGAUCCCUGGGUUGGGAA